UAGGGUUUUAGCGUUGCGUCGCCACUCUCGGCGUCAUUCGAUGGCUCGGACAACAGAAGUCUCAUCGCCAAUCUGCCCAGCUCGCUUUCAGGUUCGUCAUUGUGCUAGCAUCGAUCAAAAAGUUAUGUGCUUUCCCUGUUACUUCGGAACCCAUCUGCAGUUCUAGGUUCUACUUCUCGGAAGAGUUGAAACUUUGAUGGUUUGAAGCUCUGGUUAGGAGCGCAAUAACGAGUUGGGUUCAGAGCAACACAAUCGAGCAAUACAGUUGUAAGGUACAAAGUCAGCCUUCUUUUUAAGGCAUUCUUCGCAUAGCAUCCCAACAGUAUCUGCUUGGAGUGGUUGCUGCCGCUGAAGCAUCUUUCGUCCUGCUGCUGUUAGCACCCUUGUCAAUUGGGCUUUCCAUAUAAGUUCUGGAGCUAGCGAAGAGAAUACUCCAAUCCAGUAUGGCUGUUGCGCCGUGCUCUCUUUUCCAGCUCUCGGAAGCCUACUGGGAGUAUGAAAACCUUAACAAUUGCAGUAAGGAGGAGUGUUCGCCAUUUGAGAAAUCUUUUUUCAAAGAUCAGUAAGAGCCGCAUUCUUCCGAGAACGUCUUAUUUGUCAGCUCAAUUCAAACCGGCAACCUCCUAUACCUGCAUGCAUCACCAAGAACAUCCACAAUUUGCACGAGUAUUAUGACACUUAAUAGUGUAUACUUUGAAUUUACUAGAUCAAAGUACUAGAUCAUCAAAUUUAUUCAAGUCUUGUCUCUAUGUGCUUGCCAUUAGUGGUGUUUUCUUGUACUGGUAGGUAUGCGGCUUUUUCUUUUCUAUUUUUAUAUUUCUAAAAGUAAAUAAGUGAAUAAAAACAAUCUUCAACGUUUA
Molecule: long non-coding RNA, 860 nt
Organism: Physcomitrium patens
Lineage: Eukaryota; Viridiplantae; Streptophyta; Bryopsida; Funariales; Funariaceae
Source: RefSeq, a predicted model, not a curated record